AGUGAACGCUGGCGGCAGGCCUAACACAUGCAAGUCGAACGGCAGCACAGUAAGUGCUUGCUCUUACGGGUGGCGAGUGGCGGACGGGUGAGGAAUACAUCGGAAUCUACUUUUUCGUGGGGGUAAAAGAGGGGAAAUUAACUUCAAACCCCACACGGCCCAUAGGGUCAAAUGAGGGGUUUUGGGAACUUGGCGCGAUCGAUCGCGCAGAUGUGGACCCGCGGCGGAUUAGCUAGUUGGCGGGGUAAAGGCCCACCAAGGCGACGAUCCAUAGCUGAUCUGAGAGGAUGAUCAGCCACACUGGAACUGAGACACGGUCCAGACUCCUACGGGAGGCAGCAGUGGGGAAUAUUGGACAAUGGGCGCAAGCCUGAUCCAGCCAUACCGCGUGGGUGAAGAAGGCCUUCGGGUUGUAAAGCCCUUUUGUUGGGAAAGAAAAGCAGCAGGUUAAUACCCCGCUGUUCUGACGGUACCCAAAGAAUAAGCACCGGCUAACUUCGUG
RNAcentral lists this ribosomal RNA (502 nucleotides) under uncultured bacterium. RNAcentral's name for it is "partial 16S ribosomal RNA". It matches the Rfam family "Bacterial small subunit ribosomal RNA", at positions 29 to 507 of the family's 1533-position model. The record is from RNAcentral.